AAUUCCGUAAACGAAACCCAAAGU
Molecule: non-coding RNA, 24 nt
Filed under: Drosophila melanogaster (fruit fly)
Lineage: Eukaryota; Metazoa; Arthropoda; Insecta; Diptera; Drosophilidae
Source: RNAcentral